This 496-nucleotide ribosomal RNA is filed under the name uncultured bacterium. Its description in RNAcentral is "partial 16S ribosomal RNA". It matches the Rfam family "Bacterial small subunit ribosomal RNA", at positions 28 to 507 of the family's 1533-position model. The record is from RNAcentral.
GAUGAACGCUGGCGGCGUGCCUAAUACAUGCAAGUCGAGCAACGGACGAGAAGCUUGCUUCUCUGAUGUUAGCGGCGGACGGGUGAGUAACACGUGGAUAACCUACCUAUAAGACUGGGAUAACUUCGGGAAACCGGAGCUAAUACCGGAUAAUAUUUUGAACCGCAUGGUUCAAAAGUGAAAGACGGUCUUGCUGUCACUUAUAGAUGGAUCCGCGCUGCAUUAGCUAGUUGGUAAGGUAACGGCUUACCAAGGCAACGAUGCAUAGCCGACCUGAGAGGGUGAUCGGCCACACUGGAACUGAGACACGGUCCAGACUCCUACGGGAGGCAGCAGUAGGGAAUCUUCCGCAAUGGGCGAAAGCCUGACGGAGCAACGCCGCGUGAGUGAUGAAGGUCUUCGGAUCGUAAAACUCUGUUAUUAGGGAAGAACAUAUGUGUAAGUAACUGUGCACAUCUUGACGGUACCUAAUCAGAAAGCCACGGCUAACUACGUG